This 296-nucleotide RNase P RNA is filed under the name Candidatus Beckwithbacteria bacterium CG10_big_fil_rev_8_21_14_0_10_34_10. Its description in RNAcentral is "RNase P RNA component class A". It matches the Rfam family "Bacterial RNase P class A". From Rfam's summary of the family: Ribonuclease P (RNase P) is a ubiquitous endoribonuclease, found in archaea, bacteria and eukarya as well as chloroplasts and mitochondria. Its best characterised activity is the generation of mature 5'-ends of tRNAs by cleaving the 5'-leader elements of precursor-tRNAs. Lineage: Bacteria; Candidatus Beckwithiibacteriota. The record is from RNAcentral.
CUAGGAAAUCCAAAGUGACGCUGUUUUGAUUCAUAUCUUAACAGAGGAAAGUCCAGACAGCUGGAAGCAGGGGACCUAAGUUAAAAUUAGGGCGGGUAACCGACGGUACAAGCCACAGAGACAACAACUCAUUAAAAACCCUAAGGGUUUUUAAAAGAGAGUGAAAAGAGGUAAUUCCCCCCGCUGCAACCUCCGACCGAUCCGUUUUAAGGACGCUUCCCCAAGGAUCAAAGAUAGAGGGCAUAGACAAAUGUCACUUUUAAACACAGAAUCUGGCUUACGGGUUUCCUAGGUUU